Molecule: long non-coding RNA, 816 nt
Organism: Ananas comosus (pineapple)
Lineage: Eukaryota; Viridiplantae; Streptophyta; Magnoliopsida; Poales; Bromeliaceae
Exons: 2
Source: RefSeq, a predicted model, not a curated record
UCCGCCCUCCCGUACGGCGGCGCCCCCGUAGCGGCGAUAGGGUUCGAGCCCUACUAGCGUUUCCCUCCUUCGUUUCCUGUAGCGGCGAUAGGGUUCUCCGCCCUCCCUAACGGCGGCGCCCCCGUAGGUGAUAGGGUUCUAGCCCUACCCGCGUUUCGAGCUCUCCGCCCUCCCGUACGGCGGCGCCCCCAUAGCGGCGAUAGGGUUCGAGCCCUACUCGCGUCUCUCUCCUUCGUUUCGUAGCGGCGACGGCAACGCUGUCCUCCCUCGGGAACAACGUCGCAUCCGCCCGUAUGGGGCGGCGUUGCCCCCCUCGCCGUCCUGUCGUUCUGUCCCGUCCGACGUCCCGUCUACCUUCUGCCGUACUCUUCGCCUUCUCCCGCCCUGUUGCCUGUCCCGUCUGCCAUCCCGUCCGCCUGUUCCUUUUCGACAGCCCGUAGGACUGGGGGGUGGCGUUGUUCCGUCGGUGGUGUGGGCGGCGACUUUUCCUCCACCGCACGUUCUCGGCUGUACGGCCCGGCAUGGUUUCCUCCUACGGUUGGUGUUUUUCCCGAGCCACAUAUACCUGCUAUUUCCAUGUUGCAAUGAUGGUUGCUGGAACAACACUCACCCAGGAUGCACAUAUUGGGUCGAAUAACUGAUAUCAGCAGUAGGUUGGAUGACCUGUUUAUAGGCAAUUACCUGCUGGUCUUUGGUUGGUGCGCUCUGUUUAGGAUGAUUUCCAGAACAUGACAAUCUUUUGUUACCUACUUAAGUUGCAAUUACAUUGUAUUACUUUGGGAGCUAUAUAAUCUAAAAUUUUUUAAAAUUUACAUA